This 468-nucleotide ribosomal RNA is filed under the name uncultured bacterium. RNAcentral describes it as "partial 16S ribosomal RNA". It matches the Rfam family "Bacterial small subunit ribosomal RNA", at positions 28 to 507 of the family's 1533-position model. The record is from RNAcentral.
GACGAACGCUGGCGGCGUGCUUAACACAUGCAAGUCGAACGGAAAGGCCCUGCUUUUGUGGGGUGCUCGAGUGGCGAACGGGUGAGUAACACGUGAGUAACCUGCCCUUUACUUUGGGAUAACUUCAGGAAACUGGGGCUAAUACCGGAUAGGAGCUCCUGCUGCAUGGUGGGGGUUGGAAAGUUUCGGCGGUUGGGGAUGGACUCGCGGCUUAUCAGCUUGUUGGUGGGGUAGUGGCUUACCAAGGCUUUGACGGGUAGCCGGCCUGAGAGGGUGACCGGCCACAUUGGGACUGAGGUACGGCCCAGACUCGUACGGGAGGCAGCAGUGGGGAAUAUUGCACAAUGGGCGGAAGCGUGAUGCAGCAACGCCGCGUGCGGGAUGACGGCCUUCGGGUUGUAAACCGCUUUCGCCUGUGACGAAGCGUGAGUGACGGUAAUGGGUAAAGAAGCACCGGCUAACUACGUG